Ostrea edulis (European flat oyster) is the source of this 632-nucleotide long non-coding RNA. RefSeq lists it as uncharacterized. NCBI's taxonomy places the organism in Eukaryota, Metazoa, Mollusca, Bivalvia, Ostreida, Ostreidae. The record is from RefSeq and is a predicted model, not a curated record. The transcript has 3 exons.
UUCACGGCGAUAACAAAGUAGAAACAAGGAUGUUAUAGAUUUAAAAUUCUCCCCGCAUAAGGACAACUUAAAGCGUGAUAAUUGUGCUGCACAGAGAAGGAAUAUACAGGGACAGUAUUAAACAAGCGGCUGGAAGCCGGUAUGUACUCCCCAGUUACAUCGCUCGGCUUGACGGAAAAGACCGAGCGAUGUUCCGAUUGCCUCUUUGUAACACAUCAAGCUAUACAAGUACACAGGACGUUAAAGUAACGAUAUGAGAAGUCCCGUCUACAGUCAACACUCCCUCCAUUCCUGGCACGGCUGUCACAUCAACUUACUGGCGAACUGAGCGGCAUACAUCAAUUUAACUCUAAUUUGUCUGUUUUGGACCACUGCACCACUCAACGUCACAGGUUGAAGAUCAUGUAAAUAUCGUGACACUUGAUUUAUUUCCCUUUGACCUCUGCACCUUUCGGAGUCAUUGACAUUUAAGACUAUGUUUACAUUGAACCCUCUAUUCUUUGACCAUGACUUCUGCAUCUCCCAGGGUCAAGGUCACAUAAAGUCGUGAUUUUGCAUUGAAAUGUUGUUGAUUGUGUUGCUAUAGGCCUACCCGUUGUUUAGGAGGAUUGUAUUAUCAGCAGUGCCCAUUA